RNAcentral lists this ribosomal RNA (87 nucleotides) under Porella platyphylla. RNAcentral's name for it is "partial 5.8S ribosomal RNA". It matches the Rfam family "5.8S ribosomal RNA", at positions 69 to 154 of the family's 154-position model. From Rfam's summary of the family: 5.8S ribosomal RNA (5.8S rRNA) is a component of the large subunit of the eukaryotic ribosome. Lineage: Eukaryota; Viridiplantae; Streptophyta; Jungermanniopsida; Porellales; Porellaceae. RNAcentral also lists the same sequence under 1 other name. The record is from RNAcentral.
GAAUUGCAGAAUUCCGCGAAUCAUCGAGUCUUUGAACGCAAGUUGCGCCCGAGGCUUGUCCCGAGGGCAUGCCUGCCUGAGCGUCAC